Molecule: long non-coding RNA, 321 nt
Filed under: Fukomys damarensis (Damara mole-rat)
Lineage: Eukaryota; Metazoa; Chordata; Mammalia; Rodentia; Bathyergidae
Description: lncRNA (ENSFDAG00000027508.1)
Source: RNAcentral
GGGUGUGCUGUCUGCCAUCUUUGGCAAUUCAAGAUGGCUGCAGGGCUAGGCCCUGCUCCUUUCUCCACAGGUUGCAGGCUGAAGUGACGGCAGGCUGACUGACUCAUGAAGCAUUCCUUGUCAGAUGGUUGGCCUCAGGCUGAGGUGGCUGUAUGCAUGCUCUGGAGAGCAGGAGCACUCUGUGUGAGUAGCUGUUCCUGAACAGUCUCCUGUUUGGAGCCUGGGAUGACAGUGAAUUCACUUCCCACCCGUCUGCACCUCCACUUUGCACUGCAGGGAGGACGACGCCACGGGGUUCUUACCAUGUGACGAACAGGUAGG